UACAGAGGGUGCAAGCAUUAAUCGGAUUUAUUGGGCGUAAAGAGCGCGUAGGCGGGUUUUUAAGUCAGAUGUGAAAUCCCGGGGCUCAACCCCGGAACAGCAUUUGAAACUGAAAAUCUUGAGGGUAGUCGGAGAAAAUGGAAUUCCACGUGUAGCGGUGAAAUGCGUAGAUAUGUGGAAGAACACCGGUGGCGAAGGCGAUUUUCUAGAUUAUUCCUGACGCUGAGGCGCGAAAGCAAGGGGAUCAAACAGG
Molecule: ribosomal RNA, 253 nt
Filed under: uncultured bacterium
Lineage: Bacteria
Also listed under: 3 other names
Description: partial 16S ribosomal RNA
Rfam family: Bacterial small subunit ribosomal RNA
Source: RNAcentral